CAUAACGGAGCUUGUUCGAGAAAUUAGUUAACGGUUCGAAUUAAUGGAAAAUUAAUUUGCGGUUACUGAGCUGUAAAGAUUGAUGAUGAUUUUCAUAAAUGUAAAAUGAUGAAUUGUUAAGCAGAAGAUUAAUUUAUCAAGUAUGUGACGUUAAUGUUUUUGUUGCUAUAAUUUGUGAAGAAUUACAUGUGAAGAUAAUUUGUUGGGACUUAAGUGCAUAAUGUUUUCCCUUCGUCACCAGGAGACUCUGCACGUGGUGCACACCUUCUAGGGUACAAUACGACACGGUGGGAGAGAAAGUCGACCCAUAAUACUGUAAAUAGAUACAAAUCCGAGCAGGGAAUACAGAGAACAAGGGACCAAUAAUAUAAACAAAUACUUUGGAUUUACGGAAAAGGUAAGAAAUUCUUUUUCAAUAUCUUUUCCUCUGCACGUGAUAUUUCAGUAGUGCUACGGUAAAAAAAUUCAGGAUUUAUCACCAUCUACAGUUUCAGCUGAACUAUCCUAAUGUAAAUACGCUGAUGAGUGCUAAAAGUUGAAAGCCUCAGCAGUGGAAAGUUGGCUUAGUAUUUGGCGGCAUUUGAGCCCCUUAGUGUGCCCGAUUGCUGUAAUCCGAGUGGCUGCACUCUUCAUUUCAGGGCUUCUGACUUUCCAGAAGUUGCAAUGCCACUUCCACCAGGCUGAUCACCUAAUCAUCACUUCCUCCAUCAAAACAAAUACUCGAAUACUCAGGGCAUUGUCAUGGACACGUAUGAUACCCUCGCUUGUCACGUCCACGAGAAAGAAGCCAAUUGCGAAAGUGUGCUGUUGCAAAAUGCACCAACGCGCAUCGAGACUAGGCCUAGGUUGUACAUUACAGCGAUACUUCACUUCGCCCGACAGUCCAUGUUUUCCUGAACCGAGGCCACGAUCACGUCCGCAAUUGCAUUGACGCUAAUGCAAUAAUCAGGAGUACGCCAUAACUUGUACUUUCAGUUUAACAAUAAUUACGUCAGGACGAGUGGAUCGAUGAAAAUUGAGAAAUUAUUUCAAUAUUGUCAAGAGUACAAUACGAUAUUCAGUAGAUGAAGGGAAUUCUCGGGCUUUGAAUCGAUGACGAAAUUGUUUUGCAUUAUUAUUUGCGUUGAAAAUUGUAUUUUUCUUUAUCAAUUUUAUCCCGAAGGAAAUUUACGCAGAGAAAAGUCGAAAAAUUACGGUGACAGGCACUAGAAUAAAAAAAAAAACUAGAAUACUAGAAUGUUUUAUUUAUGCAUAAAAAUUCCUAUCAAUACCAUAAAUGUUGUAAUAGAUUUUAUAAUUAAUGAUCUGUGGCUUCGUAAAAUUUACGAAACACCUCUAUAAAAUUUGAAGGUCUAUAAUUUUUCAUUUGAUUUUAAAUGAAAAAUCGAUAGAAAUUCUUCAAAAGUUUCUAUCCAGAUUAUUUAUUUAUUUCAUUGUGUCUUCCUUCAUUUUUUUUAUUGUACCGUACAGUAAUCUUUCGAUAACUCAUUCUGAUUGGUUAACGAUGAGCGCCGAAUACAUCCGAUUAUUCCCGACGUUGGACUCCCUCAGAUCUGUAGCAUCAGCCGUUUGGUGUUCAUCUCCUCGUAGCCAUUAGACUUUGAACUUUUACGAGACUGACAUAGAAGUUUUCGUAAGCCGAUAAAGAAAUUUUAUCGAGCGACAUAGUAAUUUACAUCAUAAUGACACUAUACAAAUUCCCAGAUUUUUCUCUCCAUGUGAAGACAAUUUGUUGGCUUUUGUAUCGAUGAAGAAAUUAUUUUCCAUGAUUAUUUACGUAGGAAAUAUAUUAUUUACCUCCAGCGAUCUUAUCCCGAAGGAAAUACUAUUUCAGUCUGUACCGAAGGUGUUGCAAAAUAGUCAUCUAAUGAGAUCGACUCGCCGUUAGUUCGACCGAGCGAGUGAAUAGUUUUCUUAUUACUUGUACGAGAAUAGAAAUACCCGCAAACCAUGACUCUCCCUAUGAUCUUACCGCACAUUGCCAACGCAUUUGGUAUUAUAUUUGUGCUUGUCCCUCGGAUAAGGCAUUACAAUGCAAAAUAUAUUCAUGGGAAGUAAUAACGUCCGAGGAAAUCGGUAGAUUUCGACAUUUUUUCCUCAACACGAAACCGACUCUUUUACAGUUUACGGAUUUCCGGAUUCAAAAAAGGUUUAUUAUGAUUCGUUAAAAGUUCCCAAGUAGGAAUUAAUAAUUAGGGUAAGCUUAUUAGGACCAGCCUUGGACCAAGAAGGUCAGUUUGGUCCAAAGGUAAGGCCCAACACUGGCCCAACAGUGCAAACCAGGCCUGACCCAACUGCUCUAAACCAACGUCUGACGUCAACCAGGCGUUGGAAUUAAACAGACUGGACAUCAAAGGUAACACAUUUAGAUUAUUUUUCAUUUAUAACAUUGUUAUAAAAAUUUACUAUCAAAUAGUUUAACGGAUCUACUUCACGGACUUAUACUCUAGCAAACGUGAACGCUGGUUCUACGAUUCCAAGGUACCUCGCCGAAGUAUUUCAUGGGUUAACAGAGCUCGCUGAGACUAUUACCAUCUGGCCUCGGUCAAACGUGAAGGAUUGAUACAUCCUGCCGUUUGUGGAUGUGGUCAUCCGAGUGAGGACCUUGAUGAUGUCUUCUGGAGAGCAGUACAGAUAUCCCAUGAUCCACGUUCUUCGCUGGGACACUUGGACACUUACCCCCAUACCAAAGUCAAUUAUUCUUAAAAGACCUCAAUGAGGAAGGUUUAGUAACUAUAAACAAUUUUUUAAAGAAAUGUAAUAUAAAUGUGUAACUGCUCAACUCCUGAACAUAUGAUAACAAAAAACUAAUUUUGCUAACUCCAAAUUACUUCUGUAAACACAUGUUUGUGGCUUUAUAAACCUGUAGGUUUCAGAUGUAAGUUUAAAUUAAACAGGCAAUUUAACAUAAUGUGUAAAAAACUUCGUAUUGCGUACAUUAAGUCGUGCAGAUGAUGCCUAUUUAAUUAAUAAUAACCAUUAACAUAAAACAAUUGUUAAUUUUUUUUAAUGAAAAUGAAAAAUAAUCGACUUCAAUCAGUUUUCCAUAAUUUAAUGGCUCCAUUGGUAUGACAAU
Molecule: long non-coding RNA, 3076 nt
Organism: Diachasmimorpha longicaudata
Lineage: Eukaryota; Metazoa; Arthropoda; Insecta; Hymenoptera; Braconidae
Exons: 3
Source: RefSeq, a predicted model, not a curated record